AUAGCACAACCUUUUACAUGGUGUUGCCAGGUUUUAUUAUCCUCCACACGUGUUGAUAUGUAAGGGAAGCAAUCGUGGCGGCCUAUGUAGGAAGUUUCUCAAGAAACCCAAAAUGGGCUUAUUAGCUCUUAAAAUCUAGGCCCAACAACCUAAUAGGCCCAAAUACAGGUACCCUAAUUUCUCCAUUCUCGCACUAUAAAUUCCAACCUCCUUCAUUCUGCAUCCAUCAAUAUUUCAUCAAAUUUCAAAGCUGCUCCAAAUCCCAUCAAAGAAGAAGCUUUGCGGUUUCACCACCUAAAUUGCAUGUGUUUGCGUAUAUGUCUCAGAUACUUGUGUGACCAUGUUCAAUAUAAUUUCAAACACAUGCAAUCUGUGAUGAUGUGUAUGAGGGAGAUCACAUCAACAUUCAUCCAAAACAACUUAGGAACUUUCUUCUUGUAAGUUUGUUCUUUGGUUGUUUUGGGUGAAUGUUGAUGUGUGGGCUUGGAAAGUUGGUUUGUUAGCCAAUACACAAGUUCUAUUUUUGUUCAAUGAAUUCAUCUCAUCAUGCAUGAUUGAUAAUUGUUUUUUUUUAAGAAAUCCUUGCUUCUGACAGGUUCAGAGUAUGCUUUAUGGUUUAGGUUCCUCACUAUCAAUUUUUAUGCAUUUAACACAAUAUAUUCUACUGCCACACCAAGUUUGAAUUCAUGGACGAACUCAACAUUGAAGCUAAGGAUACAUCAAGUUUGAAUUGAUGGUCAAACUCAGCAGUGAAGCCUAGGAUGGCAUGUCAAAUAGCUUUGGAUACAUAUCUUGGGAGUGAUGACAACAAUUAUAUUAAUUCACUCUAGAUGAAGUAUAGAACUAUUAGUUUUUGGAUACAUUGAGUAUGAUACAAUUGUGAUGAAUUACCAUAAUUUGAAAAUAUAACUAUCAGUUUGAGUAA
Molecule: long non-coding RNA, 925 nt
Organism: Lathyrus oleraceus (garden pea)
Lineage: Eukaryota; Viridiplantae; Streptophyta; Magnoliopsida; Fabales; Fabaceae
Exons: 2
Source: RefSeq, a predicted model, not a curated record